GGGGCAGUGCAGGCUGAGCCUCAUCAGGGAACCUUUCGCCUUUAGCCACUACUACCUGUGUGGAGCCUGGGGUGCGGGGAGCCCUGGACCCCAGGAGGCCUGAAGGAGGAAGAUACCAGGACAUUGUGAUCACAAGAUGAUCCCCCAAUCAGAAAAAGGCAGGGCAGGAACUCAGCUCUUACCCAAAGGGACCAACCUGCAGCACAGGAAACAGUGCUGUCUUCACCCUGCUGUGCAAUGGGCUCCAGGCUGCUCCCCUGGGCAAUGUUUUGUCUCCUGGGAGCAGGCCCAGUGGAGGCAGGAGUCACACAGACGCCAAGACACCUGAUCAAAGCAAGAGGGCAGCAAGUGUCGCUGAGAUGUACCCCUCACUCUGGACACUCCAGUGUGUCCUGGUACCAACAGGCCCCGGGUCAGGGCCUCCAGUUACUCUUCACAAUUUAUGAGUAUGUGGAGAACGCGAAAGGAAACUUCCCUGACAGAUUCUCAGCUCACCAGUUCCAGAACUAUGACUCCGAGCUGAACGUGAGCGCCUUGGACCUGGGGGACUCGGCUGUGUACCUCUGUGCCAGCAGCUUGGCACAGCCCUGCAGAGCCACCAGUGUUCUGUGCACAAACCACCUGCUUGAGCUCUGA
Non-coding RNA from Oryctolagus cuniculus (rabbit), 636 nucleotides. The record is from the annotation of a RefSeq genome assembly. Lineage: Eukaryota; Metazoa; Chordata; Mammalia; Lagomorpha; Leporidae.